Molecule: ribosomal RNA, 460 nt
Filed under: uncultured bacterium
Lineage: Bacteria
Description: partial 16S ribosomal RNA
Rfam family: Bacterial small subunit ribosomal RNA
Source: RNAcentral
CCUACGGGUGGCAGCAGUGAGGAAUAUUGGUCAAUGGGCGCGAGCCUGAACCAGCCAAGUCGCGUGAGGGAUGACUGCCCUACGGGUUGUAAACUUCUUUUAUUCAGGAAUAAAGUGAGGCACGUGUGCCUUUUUGUCUGUACUGUAUGAAUAAGCAUCGGCUAACUCCGUGCCAGCAGCCGCGGUAAUACGGAGGAUCCGAGCGUUAUCCGGAUUUAUUGGGUUUAAAGGGAGCGUAGAUGGGUUGUUAAGUCAGUUGUGAAAGUUUGCGGCUCAACCGUAAAAUUGCAAUUGAAACUGGCAGCCUUGAGUACAGUCGAGGUAGGCGGAAUACGUGGUGUAGCGGUGAAAUGCUUAGAUAUCACUAAGAACUCCGAUUGCGAAGGCAGCUUACUAAACUGCCACUGACACUGAUGCUCGAAAGUGUGGGUAGCAAACAGGAUUAGAUACCCGGGUAGUC